This 92-nucleotide non-coding RNA is filed under the name unclassified sequences. The record is from Rfam.
CGAUCGGGAGGCCCUUGGUGGGACAAGGGCCGGGAAUGGAUCGCACCCGCCAUCUCUGAUGGACGUGCUGCUGUGGCCCGACAGUGCGCGCG